CGCUCGGUAGCUUAGUUGGUAAAGCGCUCGUCUAGCAUACAAGAGUCCUGGGUUCAAAUCCCAGCCGAGCAC
Aedes aegypti (yellow fever mosquito) is the source of this 72-nucleotide non-coding RNA. The record is from Rfam. NCBI's taxonomy places the organism in Eukaryota, Metazoa, Arthropoda, Insecta, Diptera, Culicidae.